This 729-nucleotide long non-coding RNA is filed under the name Nicotiana benthamiana. Its description in RNAcentral is "long non-coding RNA (NBEN_LNC040497)". Lineage: Eukaryota; Viridiplantae; Streptophyta; Magnoliopsida; Solanales; Solanaceae. The record is from RNAcentral.
UAGAAUAAAACCUGUAAGAAGGAAAACUCAGUCCAAAUAUUUAAGGUAAAAUCGGGUUUUCAACAAUUAGCUCAAGUACGCGCUCUUCACCUCACGUAUAAGGUAUUCAAUCACCAAAUAACAUAUCCUAAGGGGAAGGUCCCUCACACUAGGUUAGACAAGCCACUUGCCUCGAACUGACUCAAAAUCAACUAGAAACCACGCCUUUUCCAUGAGUAUCUGACUCUAAAUUUCCAAAUCUAUUCAAUUCAAUUACAUAUAGUAAAUAACAUUGUAAGAAACUGAUUCUACUAUUUAAUUCAAAGCUAAGACACAAAAUUAGGUAAAAUGACCAAAAUGCCGUCAAGCCAACGUCUCGGAAUCAGAUAAUUUUACAUUUUUAGAAUCCUCAUAUUCUCACGAGUCUAACAAUAUAAAAAUCUCUCAAACCGUAGUUGAACUAUUGGAGAAGGCGCAAAGCCUGAGUCUUGGUUUAACCGUAGUUAAACUUACUGGAGAAGGCACAUAGACUUGAUUCGAUGGUGAAGGGGCAUAGCCUGAGUCCCGGUUCAACCAUAGUUGAACUUUGAUAAAUUUGAUGACGAAGGCGCGUAGCCUGAGUCCCAGUUCAACUAUCAUGGAACGUUGUCGAUUUUGAUGGUAAAGGCGCAUAGCCCGAGUUUUGGUCCAACCGUAGUUGAACUAAUGGGGGAAGGCGCAUAGCUUGAUUCGAUGGUGAAGGCGCAUACC